GGAAACUGAAUGGCACUGCCGCCUCCCUCGUCUCGCUAUCACUCGUCUCUCUUUCUAUCUGUGCAUCUGAGGAAUCGGGAGCCUUUUGCCCCUCGGCGCCCGAGGAAAUAAUGAGGUGCCAACGGAGAGUCACAGCUCCACCGCUAAACAGCGAGUGCAAAAACCCAGCGAAGAUUGUGGCACAAGGAAGACGAGGCCUGAGAAACUCGUUCCACUUGGUGCUCGGGGCUCGGGGGGCGAGAUCACGCUCGAUCCUUAGCAGCAUGCCGCUGCGCAGUGCCAGCGGUGAGGCUGUGUGCCCGCCAACUCUUUUGUUUCCCUCAGAGUUGUUCCCACCUCCGGGAUCCACGCUCCACUGUUCACGUGCAACAACUGGAGCAAUUACAAGCGCAGCGAUUGCACACGAGUGUCCGUGUGUGUUUGUAAUUCGUUAAGCUCCGACAUAUCCACCCAGAGAGGGGAGGAGGAAAAAUGAAUAGGAGGAUGAUAAAAAAUGAAUAAGACACCGCGGCUUGUUUGAUCCUCUCUUGCAACCCGUGCCGUAAUUUGAAAGGGGUGGGAGAGGAGGACGAGGAUGAGGAUGAGGACGAGCAUGGAGCUCCUGGCAAAUAUGCGUCCAUCAGAGCCGUGGCACGGAAAUUCUAAUGGUGUUGCAGAAAAACAAGCAUUCAGAAGGGGACUCAUUAGAAGUGCGAAAACAGACUGAUGGAGCCAGAAGAUGGGAGGAAUAAGCAAGCCCCAGAGUUAGAAGUCUGACUGAGACACAUCUGGAAACAAACCAGACGCUUCAGUGGGUUUGGAGGAACAAUUUCACGAGGACAGGAAGACUUUUCCACAAGGAACUAGAGGAGUGGGGCAUGUUCUCUUGUAGGCUCUCUGGAGAAGGAGGUUCUGUGUGAACUGUCAUCAUUAUUGCAUCUGGAGACCAAUAUGGUGCUCUACAUGGAUGUUGGGCUGGAAAUACUGUAACGGAGGAAUUUUAGACACAAGAGUCUAUGCGUCAGGACUGUGAUGCCAAGAUGAAUAGUGUGUGUGUGUGUGUGUGCCUUCCCGAGUGGCUGGAUUGCCACUGAUGACUGAAUCAGAUGAUCUGUAUCCUUGCUCAAACAUGAUUUGGUUUGAAAGUAAUAAUCAUUUUGUUCAUAAUUACUCG
This is a long non-coding RNA of Astatotilapia calliptera (eastern happy), 1153 nucleotides long. Lineage: Eukaryota; Metazoa; Chordata; Actinopteri; Cichliformes; Cichlidae. The record is from Ensembl.